UGCAAGUCGAACGGUAACAGGAAGCAGCUUGCUGCUUUGCUGACGAGUGGCGGACGGGUGAGUAAUGUCUGGGAAACUGCCCGAUGGAGGGGGAUAACUACUGGAAACGGUAGCUAAUACCGCAUAAUGUCGCAAGACCAAAGAGGGGGACCUUCGGGCCUCUUGCCAUCGGAUGUGCCCAGAUGGGAUUAGCUAGUUGGUGAGGUAACGGCUCACCAAGGCGACGAUCCCUAGCUGGUCUGAGAGGAUGACCAGCCACACUGGAACUGAGACACGGUCCAGACUCCUACGGGAGGCAGCAGUGGGGAAUAUUGCACAAUGGGCGCAAGCCUGAUGCAGCCAUGCCGCGUGUAUGAAGAAGGCCUUCGGGUUGUAAAGUACUUUCAGCGGGGAGGAAGGGGUUAAGGUUAAUAACCUUAGCCAUUGACGUUACCCGCAGAAGAAGCACCGGCUAACUCCGUGCCAGCAGCCGCGGUAAUACGGAGGGUGCAAGCGUUAAUCGGAAUUACUGGGCGUAAAGCGCACGCAGGCGGUCUGUCAAGUCGGAUGUGAAAUCCCCGGGCUCAACCUGGGAACUGCAUUCGAAACUGGCAGGCUUGAGUCUCGUAGAGGGGGGUAGAAUUCCAGGUGUAGCGGUGAAAUGCGUAGAGAUCUGGAGGAAUACCGGUGGCGAAGGCGGCCCCCUGGACGAAGACUGACGCUCAGGUGCGAAAGCGUGGGGAGCAAACAGGAUUAGAUACCCUGGUAGUCCACGCCGUAACGAUGUCUAUUUGGAGGUUGUGCCCUUGAGGCGUGGCUUCCGGAGCUAACGCGUUAAAUAGACCGCCUGGGGAGUACGGCCGCAAGGUUAAAACUCAAUGAAUUGACGGGGGCCCGCACAAGCGGUGGAGCAUGUGGUUUAAUUCGAUGCAACGCGAGAACCUUACCUGGUCUUGACAUCCACA
This 944-nucleotide ribosomal RNA is filed under the name Citrobacter sp. NCCP-1750. RNAcentral describes it as "bacterial SSU rRNA". It matches the Rfam family "Bacterial small subunit ribosomal RNA", at positions 56 to 992 of the family's 1533-position model. The record is from RNAcentral. Lineage: Bacteria; Pseudomonadati; Pseudomonadota; Gammaproteobacteria; Enterobacterales; Enterobacteriaceae.